RNAcentral lists this transfer RNA (67 nucleotides) under Holcosus sinister. RNAcentral's name for it is "Holcosus undulatus sinistra tRNA-Trp". Lineage: Eukaryota; Metazoa; Chordata; Lepidosauria; Squamata; Teiidae. The record is from RNAcentral.
GAAAUAUAGGCUAAACAUAUAAACCAGGGCCUUCAAAGCCCAAACUGUGAACAAAUCACUAUUUCUG